CAAUAGCGUAUAUUAAAGUUGUUGCGGUAAAAAAGCUCGUAGUUGGACUUCUGUUGAGAGAUACCGGUCCAUGCAACGCAUGCGUAUUUGGUAAGUCUCGGCAUCCUCUCGAAAAACUUCUUUGCGCUUGAUUGCGUGAAAAGAGUUUCGGGACUUUUACUUUGAGGAAAUUAGAGUGUUCACGGCAGGCCAUCGCCAGGAUACAUUAGCAUGGAAUAAUACUAUAGGAUCUUGAUCCUAUUUUGUUGGUUUCUAGGGUUAAGAUAAUGAUUAAUAGGGACAAUUGGGGGCAUUCGUAUCAACACGUCAGAGGUGAAAUUCUUGGAUUGUGUUGCGACGAACUACUGCGAAAGCAUUUGCCAAGGAUGUUUUCAUUGA
Molecule: ribosomal RNA, 378 nt
Filed under: uncultured eukaryote
Lineage: Eukaryota
Description: partial 18S ribosomal RNA
Rfam family: Eukaryotic small subunit ribosomal RNA
Source: RNAcentral